GCCUGGACACGUUUGUUUGCUCAGCUUUGAAGCUCAGAGCCAUUUCCCAGACCCUGAGCUGAGGAAGAAAGGGGGAGAGGCCGAGGACAUGGCUGGGGAGCGGGAGAGGCGGGUCAGACCCUCCUGGAUCCCACUGUAGAGUGUCUGAAACAGACAGAGCCUAAAAGAUGAUCUAAUCCAUCUCUUCUGACAGACAGGAAGUUAAGGACCAGAGAACAGCGAGGACUGGCCCAGGGCCCCCCCGGUUGGUCAGUGCCCGCCCCCCGCUCCAACGUCACACGGAUCAGCUGGAGCUUUGCCCUGGGAAGAGGAAGCUGGCAGGGAAGCUGACGGAUGCACAGUAGGCCUCAGCCUAAAGCAAGCCGCAUCGUGAACGGGAGCGCCAGAAGAGGCCUGGCACAUGGUGUGUAUUCAGCAAUAUACACAUUACAUUAAAAGAGGCUAUUUACAAUAGCCAGGACAUGGAAGCAACCUAAAUGUCCAUCAACAGAGGAAUGGCUAAAGAAGAUGUGGCAUAUAUAGACAAUGGAAUAUUAGCCAUAAGAAGGAAUGAAAUUGAGUUAUUUGUAGUGAGGUGGAUGGACCUAGAGACUGUCAUACAAAGUGAAGUAAGUCAGAAAGAGAAAAACAAAUACCAUAUGCUAAUGAAUAUAUAUGGAAUCUAGAAAAAUGGUACUGUUGAACCUAGUGGUGGGGCAGGAAUAAAGAUGCAGACAUUGAGAAAGGACUUGAGGACACUGGCAGGGGGGA
Molecule: non-coding RNA, 750 nt
Organism: Kogia breviceps (pygmy sperm whale)
Lineage: Eukaryota; Metazoa; Chordata; Mammalia; Artiodactyla; Physeteridae
Source: RefSeq, a predicted model, not a curated record